RNAcentral lists this ribosomal RNA (140 nucleotides) under Helictochloa bromoides. The record is from RNAcentral. Lineage: Eukaryota; Viridiplantae; Streptophyta; Magnoliopsida; Poales; Poaceae.
GGAUGCGAUCAUACCAGCACUAAAGCACCGGAUCCCAUCAGAACUCCGAAGUUAAGCGUGCUUGGGCGAGAGUAGUACUAGGAUGGGCGAGAGUAGUACUAGGAUGGGUGACCUCCUGGGAAGUCCUCGUGUUGCAUCCC